This is a non-coding RNA of Ictidomys tridecemlineatus (thirteen-lined ground squirrel), 2723 nucleotides long. Lineage: Eukaryota; Metazoa; Chordata; Mammalia; Rodentia; Sciuridae. The record is from RefSeq and is a predicted model, not a curated record.
CAGGAUGAAGUCAUAAAACAAAAUGGAGUCACAUUUGCUUCUACUAUCACGACCUUAGCAACCUCUGCGAUCAUUCUCUAUGGCAACUGAAGGGAAACAAUAGUCAAAGCAAAAUUUGCAUCCUGGGAGAAGUGGAGGAGUAGUAGGUGUAUUUUCUUUCUCUAUUGGAGUAGAUCACUCCCAACAAGUAAUUCAGGUGGUUAUCUAAAAUGAUAUAGAGUGGUCAAAGUAUGAAGAAUGGAUUUUUUCAGAGAAAAGUCAAUGGAUUUUGAAGGAGAAGACUGAACACUGUAAUAUAAUGCUGAAUAUAAAACAGAUUUGAUGGUGAAGUUGAGUACACCCUUCCCAAACUUCAAAACUCCUUUAAAAUUUCUACUUAAUAUCUGAUGAAUUUUUAUUGGGCAAAAGAGUUACUGAGUAUCUAUAUAUAGCAACCAGGCCUUUCACAUGAAGUGGGGAAAGUUAAAUCAUGGAAAUGUCUGUCAUCAAUUAUCACUAAGGAGCUGAACAAAACUUAAUGUCUCCUGGAGUAAGUGGGGGUAUUGCCCAAAUUCAAUCUUUCUUUUCUUUUCAUGUGCCCAAAUAGUCUCACAGAUUCCAUUCUGGGGGUAACAUAGCUAUAAGAUUCAAUGUUAGGUUUGGAAUUUAUCAAGACAUUCAGGAAAAUGGCUUAAUUUCUCACAGUUGAUAAUCUCUUACUUGAUAAUUUAACAUAAGCAUCUUUUAAUAGGCGAUUGGAGAGUGGAAAUAAGAAUCUUAAAAAUAUUUUGCAAAAAUAACAGAAGUUUUAAGCAAUAUUUUGAGUGUGGAUAAAGGUUAUAUGUGUGUGCGUGUGUGUGUGUGUGUGUGUGUGUGUGUGUGUGUGUGUCUGUCUGUUUAAAAAUACUCUGUAUUGGACAAAAGAAAACUACUUUGGGGACAAAUAUCUCAUUAUCACGGAAAGAAAAUUUUAAUUCUAUAUCACAUGAACUAUGCACUGGAAAUCUCUCUGCUCCCUAGAGGGAAAUACUAGUCUGGAUGCCUUCAUUACUUGUACUUUAAGACACCUCAGGUUCUUUCCAGAUAGGAAAGAAGGUGCAUGAGCUGGAGGAUUGAGGUUGCUGAGUCUAAGGGUAGCUGCCACUUGGGAAGGUGAUGAGAAGUCAAGAAGAUUGGAUCCUGGGUAUGUGAUGAACAUCUGACUACAUAAUCCACAUGCAAACAUUGGCAGGAAUAUAAAAUCUUAGGCCACUGAAAAUGAGACCAUGUGCCUUUGAGAAAAUAAUCUCUGGAGAAAAAUAUUUUCCAUUAAAUCAAGGUGAUGAAUGCCAGUGAACUAAGAUUUGAUAUAUUUUUGGAUAUUAAAUCUUGUCUGUAAUUACCGAUUAUUUUUAUUAGCUUAUCUGUUAACUAAAUAUGCUACAACUUGUCAUAAUCCCAUGGUAUCAUUUAUUUAAAAAGGGAAGACGAUCAAGCCAAUGAUUGCUACAAUAGAAAAAAAAUCAACCAAAUGACUGUUUUACAAAUAUUCAAUUAUUAAUUUUGUCAGCCUAUAUGCAAACCUAUUUACCGAACAUGCUUUAUUCUACAAUUCCUUUGUGACAGGUUUUACAGUCUUUGUUAUUCUGUUUUCAAACAACAAAAUGUAAGAUGUCAUUUCUGUCUUUCUCACUUCAGUCUCCCAUCAAUAUAUCUUUCUCUUCUCACCCACAAGCCCAAUUGUGUUUAGAAUGUAAAAUAAAUCAGGUUUUAUUUUUUAAGUUGAUGAGGCUUUCAUAAAAUACAAAUCAGUAACUGAAGAAAAGAAUAAGCAAGAAACUUACAUGGAUGCUGAAUUUCCAAGGGCUUCCAGGAGCCUGGGAGUGUGGGAGUAAUGUUUUUUGAAAUGAUUAAAUGCUAGGAUGUCCCCAUGCAUAUAAUAAACGAUAUUAUUAUAUAAAUGAAUGUUCUAUAGCAAAGAUAAACUUUUUGUUAGCUGACCUUUGAAGAAGUGGGAACAGGAUUGUGAGUCAUUCAGCUUGAAUGACAUAUAAUUUCUCUUGUUCUUUAAAUUAUAAAAGUGAUUAGAACAAAAAUGACUUGAAUUUUCUGUUUUCUGAUGUAUUAAUAAAAUAAUAUAUCUGUUUUCAGUGUUAUAAUCUAAUUAUAUGCAAGAAACUUCCCCAAGGAUUAGAAAUAGCUGCUGUAUGCAAUAAAUAAUUUGCCCUUAUUUAUAAAAUCAAGAACAUAGGACUUUUUACUUAUCCCUUAUUUCAAGUACAGAACUUAACUGCAGUGAUCAUUGGUUCAGAAAAACUUUGAAUACUAGUGUGUCCAAACUAGUAUUAAUUUUAAAAACACAAAUUCUUCACUUUAUCCUUGGUUACAAGAAAGUAAAGAUGGUGGAGUCCAGUAGAAAUCUGUUCUCAUUUAGAGGGCAAAUUGAAUAAGGAAAUUUAAGACUCUAUUAUUGCUAUAAUGUAAUGCUGAAUUUGAAAAAUGAAGUUGCAAUGAAAUAAGAAGUGUAAAGGAAGCCAGGCUCUCCUUUAGUUACUGUCUCUCAGGAAACAUUAAGAAUUAUCAUAAAUAUGGACACUGUGUAUACAUAGGUGUAGAACAGAUUUCAGUAGACAGAGUGAAGAGAGUUUUCAUUUCAAAAUGCAUCCAAGGUCAAAAACGGCAUAAUAAACCAACACUUUAGUUAUAACUUUUCCUCAGCAUUCCUUUCUCCACUUCCUUUUGUCACAUUAAUAAUUACCCUUUGU